This is a non-coding RNA of Paramuricea clavata, 928 nucleotides long. The record is from the annotation of a GenBank genome assembly. Lineage: Eukaryota; Metazoa; Cnidaria; Anthozoa; Malacalcyonacea; Plexauridae.
UUUUAGACUCUUUUCUCGUUGCAUGAACGUAAACGGAUGUUGAACUUAUUCACAAUGGUCUAAGCUUCUGCUGAACAGAAUGUAUAUAAGCGGCAUUCCCUUGCUGACUUGCAUACAUCUUUCAGUGGGACUCGACCAUAAAGUAUAUGCUAAGAAGAAUAAACGAAUUAAGGUGAGUAUACUGACGUUAUAUAUCAUGCACAAUCGUAUGGAAAAGGACUAUAUAGAAAAAUAUAGGAAUCAAAUUAAAUGCCGCGCUAUAUAGAUAUGUACUAAAAUGCAGGAUGAGCAUCAUGCAGUAACAUAUAAAUGCUAUGAAAUGGCCAAGUGCGUCCAUGCAUGCAAUAUGCAUUACAUCGAUCAGUGAUUAUGUUUUGCAAUCAGCGACUGAAGCAGGUUGGAAAAGACUUAUUCUUAUUCUAAUGGGGUUUUUUCCACUUGUCGGUCUUGAUGAAUUGGGCUAUGUAUAAUUCAAUUCCAAUUAUAUACUUACUGUACGCGAUUUUUUGUUUUACAAUUAUUCAUGCGAAAGACAUUUUUCCUGCGUAUUUGGGCAACGUAUAUAUAGCAGCUCCACAAUGUCAUGUUAUUUUUCUCAACAUUGCAUGCAGGGCACAGAAAAUGUAUAACAAGUCACUAUAAACAGGGUCUAAAAAGUUCUUUGUUGUCUUGUGAUCGCAUGUAUUCAGUAUACUCGACGUCCCCAAUAUAGAGAGCAUCAAAAACUCAAGCAAUUUUUUUUUUCGGCCUAUAUAUUUACUGUAUCAUAUACAAUAUGUGAUAUAACCUGUUCUAUAUAUUUUAUAUAUUUUCGUUUUUCUGUUGCAGAAUGAAUCGUCUUGCUUUGUUUUGUCUCCUACUCAAUGUUUCGGGUGUGUUAAUGGUAAGAAACUGAAUUAUAGUUUUCUGCAUGUUUACAAUCAAGUUG